AAGACAAUGACCUCAAUUUGGACUGCAUGAUUUAAAGAAAUACCGCCUAGCUCUGAUUAGUUCCCAAGGAGGGAAACCGGUUUUCUCUAUGUUCCGACUGUCCUUAUCAAGAGGCAUCGUCUCUGGUACGGGGGCUUUGGUACAUCCUGAGUCCCAUUAGACAUCGUCUCCCACAGACCUCAAGCGCAUGGAACUGAAAAUGAUGGAAAUGAAGGAUCUCCAAAAAGCUGAAGCUGUGCUGAGGUUUAAAAAUGAAAACUCUUUCUCUUCAAAUUGGGUGCUACUUCUGGUGUUACUUCCAUGCUGUACGCACACAACAGAAGAAUAAGGCUGCAUGAGAAAUCCACAAGUUUCUGUGAUCAGAGUGUACCAUGCUUUGAAUCAUAGAAUGAAAUGACAACCUGUAUCCAACUAGAAACGAACCCUGUUGAACUCAAUGGGGCUUUUUUUCUGGGAAAACAGAGCUGGACUAGGAGCCCAUGUGAUUUGCCAGUAAUUCAAAACUGGCUAGAAACUAAUCAAACUUUGGGAGAAGCCCAUUGUGAAGAAAUGAAACUCGUACUUGUUAAGACCCAAAGCGCACAGCAGAAGAAUCCCCAUCACUUCGGCGGACAUUAUAAUCUAGUAGGAGUAAAAGAUAAAGAUGCCCUGAGUUGCAGCUCACCCAAGCAUAUGCUUUU
Python bivittatus (Burmese python) is the source of this 680-nucleotide non-coding RNA. NCBI's taxonomy places the organism in Eukaryota, Metazoa, Chordata, Lepidosauria, Squamata, Pythonidae. The record is from RefSeq and is a predicted model, not a curated record.